GUCCCUAUCUACUAUCUAGCGAAACCACAGCCAAGGGAACGGGCUUGGAAUCAUUAGCGGGGAAAGAAGACCCUGUUGAGCUUGACUCUAGUUUGGCACUGUAAGAAGACAUAAGAGGUGUAGCAUAAGUGGGAGAUAUCUUGUACUUGUGCAGUUUAUCAACAAUGAAAUACCACUACUUUUAUCGUUUUCUUACUUACUUGAUUAAAUGGAGAAUGCACUUUCAUUCAUUCCAUAUUUGCAUUGUGACUCUGUCAUCUUUGCUCAUAUGGCAAUGUUGAUCUUGUGCACUUUUCUUGAUCCAAGUGUCAUGAACCGUCGGUACGUUUGUACGAUUGAGGUGUUGCUGCAAAGUUUCGCUGAGAUCGGAGUAUUGACAUUUAUGGUUAAGACACGAUCCAAGUCAGGGACACUGCCAGGUGGGGAGUUUGACUGGGGCGGUACAUCUCUGAAAUAAUA
Molecule: ribosomal RNA, 459 nt
Filed under: Lutzomyia pescei
Lineage: Eukaryota; Metazoa; Arthropoda; Insecta; Diptera; Psychodidae
Description: eukaryotic LSU rRNA
Rfam family: Eukaryotic large subunit ribosomal RNA
Source: RNAcentral